CCUACGGGAGGCUGCAGUAGGGAAUAUUGCACAAUGGGGGAAACCCUGAUGCAGCAACGCCGCGUGGAGGAUGAAGGAUUUAGGAUUGUAAACCUCUUUUAGCAGAGAAGAGAAUGACGGUAUCUUACAAAUAAACACCGGCUAACUCCGGUCCAGCAGCCGCGGUAAUACGGAGGGGGCAAGCGUUAUCCGGAAUUACUGGGGGUAAAGGGGGCGCAGGCGGGCAUGCAAGUCAGAUGUGAAAUCCUGUAGCUUAACCACAGGACUGCAUUUGAAACUGUUAGACUAGAGUAUGGGAGAGGUAGGUGGAAUUCUUGGUGUAGAGGUGAAAUGCGUAGAUAUUAAGAGGAAUACCCAUUGCGAAGGCGACCUACUGGAACGUAACUGACGUUGAUGCUCGAAAGCGUGGGGAGCAAACAGGAUUAGAUACCCUUGUAGUC
This 440-nucleotide ribosomal RNA is filed under the name uncultured bacterium. RNAcentral's name for it is "partial 16S ribosomal RNA". It matches the Rfam family "Bacterial small subunit ribosomal RNA", at positions 338 to 795 of the family's 1533-position model. The record is from RNAcentral.